RNAcentral lists this ribosomal RNA (497 nucleotides) under uncultured bacterium. Its description in RNAcentral is "partial 16S ribosomal RNA". It matches the Rfam family "Bacterial small subunit ribosomal RNA", at positions 28 to 507 of the family's 1533-position model. The record is from RNAcentral.
GAUGAACGCUGGCGGCGUGCCUAAUACAUGCAAGUCGAGCGAACAGAUAAGGAGCUUGCUCCUUUGACGUUAGCGGCGGACGGGUGAGUAACACGUGGAUAACCUACCUAUAAGACUGGGAUAACUUCGGGAAACCGGAGCUAAUACCGGAUAACAUAUUGAACCGCAUGGUUCAAUAGUGAAAGGCGGCUUUGCUGUCACUUAUAGAUGGAUCCGCGCCGUAUUAGCUAGUUGGUAAGGUAACGGCUUACCAAGGCAACGAUACGUAGCCGACCUGAGAGGGCGAUCGGCCACACUGGAACUGAGACACGGUCCAGACUCCUACGGGAGGCAGCAGUAGGGAAUCUUCCGCAAUGGGCGAAAGCCUGACGGAGCAACGCCGCGUGAGUGAUGAAGGUCUUCGGAUCGUAAAACUCUGUUAUCAGGGAAGAACAAAUGUGUAAGUAACUGUGCACAUCUUGACGGUACCUGAUCAGAAAGCCACGGCUAACUACGUG